This 511-nucleotide ribosomal RNA is filed under the name uncultured Glomus. RNAcentral describes it as "SSU rRNA". It matches the Rfam family "Eukaryotic small subunit ribosomal RNA", at positions 569 to 1081 of the family's 1831-position model. Lineage: Eukaryota; Fungi; Glomeromycota; Glomeromycetes; Glomerales; Glomeraceae. The record is from RNAcentral.
AGCAGCCGCGGUAAUUCCAGCUCCAAUAGCGUAUAUUAAAGUUGUUGCAGUUAAAAAGCUCGUAGUUGAAUUUCGGGAUCAAUAUAUUGGUCGUGCCUCCGGUAUGCACUGGUAUCAUUGAUUUCUACCUUCUGACGAACUAUGACGUCAUUAAUUUGGUGUCAUAGGGAAUCAGGACUGUUACUUUGAAAAAAUUAGAGUGUUUAAAGCAGGCACACGCUUGAAUACAUUAGCAUGGAAUAAUGAAAUAGGACGUUUGACCCUAUUUUGUUGGUUUCUAGGAUCGACGUAAUGAUUAAUAGGGAUAGUUGGGGGCAUUAGUAUUCAAUUGUCAGAGGUGAAAUUCUUGGAUUUAUUGAAGACUAACUACUGCGAAAGCAUUUGCCAAGGAUGUUUUCAUUAAUCAAGAACGAAAGUUAGGGGAUCGAAGACGAUCAGAUACCGUCGUAGUCUUAACCAUAAACUAUGCCGACUAGGGAUCGGAUGAUGUUAAUUUUUUAAUGACUCAUUC